Molecule: long non-coding RNA, 261 nt
Organism: Mytilus californianus (California mussel)
Lineage: Eukaryota; Metazoa; Mollusca; Bivalvia; Mytilida; Mytilidae
Exons: 2
Source: RefSeq, a predicted model, not a curated record
UAUCACAAGGAAAUGCUGGGAUUGAUUUUGGGGGUAAUUGCCUCAAAAUUUUAGGAAUUAGGGGACAAAAAGGGGCAAAAAUCAAGCAUUUUUCUAGUUUCAUGACAAUAACUUGUGUGUAAGUGUAUGGAUCUUUCUGAAAUUGUACUACAAGGUUUCAUAUCACAAAGGGAAAGCUGGAAUUGAGUUCGGGGGUAAUUGCCUGAAACGUUUAGGAAUUGGGGGCCAAAAAGGGGCCAAAAAUAAGCAUUUUUCUAGUUU